This 277-nucleotide ribosomal RNA is filed under the name uncultured eukaryote. RNAcentral's name for it is "partial 18S ribosomal RNA". It matches the Rfam family "Eukaryotic small subunit ribosomal RNA", at positions 21 to 219 of the family's 1831-position model. The record is from RNAcentral.
UAGUCAUAUGCUUGUCUCAAAGAUUAAGCCAUGCAUGUUUAAGUAUAAACCGCUUGUACCGCAAGGUGCAAAACGGGUGAAACUGCGAAUGGCUCAUUAAAUCAGCAAUCGUUUAUUUGAUUGUGCGCUAUUGUGGUGUUUGGUUUGGGGGUUCGCCUCUGGAUCAAAGUCCGCAAAUGGCUACAUGGAUAACCGUGGUAAUUCAAGAGCUAAUACAUGAAGGAAAAACAAGGUUGACUUUUCGCAAGAGAGGAAGACCCGCAUUUAUUAGAUACAU